This is a long non-coding RNA of Salvia splendens (bonfire salvia), 1849 nucleotides long. RefSeq lists it as uncharacterized. NCBI's taxonomy places the organism in Eukaryota, Viridiplantae, Streptophyta, Magnoliopsida, Lamiales, Lamiaceae. The transcript is spliced from 4 exons. The record is from RefSeq and is a predicted model, not a curated record.
GGCGGAUUUUCCGUCACUGAUACAGCGGCGGAUUAUUUUCUGCCACAUUUUUACAAAUCUUAUUUAAAUUAAUUAGGGCAGUUUACGCAUUUCAUUCUCCAGCCCCCGCCGUUCGCCGCUCCAGCUCCGUCGCCGUCGUCCGCUCGGAUCCAACAACCACCGCCGUCGCCGCCAGGUAAUCAAUCCGGAAGACAGGUCAAGAUCCGAGCAGACCUGCAUUGCGGCCGCCUUCCUCAGCGAGAGGUGGUAGCAACUCCAGCAGCAACCGAUACAGUCCUUACAGCAGCUCGAGUAGCAUUUUCAACAGAAUUGGUUCAUACUAUCCCGAUCCACAAGAAACAUCAGAUCCUGCUCCCUCUCACAGCACAACCUCAUCUUCCACCUCUCUUUACGACAACAAGAUCUGCCCCAUAUGCCUUAGCUAUUGGUGCAAAGUACUUGCGGUAUCAGUAGAAAAAGUGAAAUUAAUGUGAUGCCUUCUACUUCUUUGCUACCUCUACUUAAUGUAGCAUUUCUUCUGUAAAACAUCCAAGGCCGCAAUGUUUCUCACUAGUCGACUUUCUGGUCCUUGUUACUGAAAAUUAAAUCAGUUCAAAAAUGACAUUUGUUUGAAUUUUCAUGAUCAUGCUACAUGUGAAUAGGUAGCGGAUAAUUUGCUUCAUGAUACUUCCAGCAACAUAGAAACUUAAGUAUUCUGUUCUCAAACUCUCAGAAGCAAGGUAAUUAGUUCAUUAUUUUUCUUGUUACAAUCAAGAUUCUAUUUAGUAUUUACUCAUUAUUAAUUAGUUCUUUAUAAGUGUUCUCUUGUGGAAGCAGGUGCAACGUGAUUUUUCCAUAGAGUAAGCCGUGUGAAAUAUGCUCCCUUUCCCUGAACUUGUGUGGUUGUAGCUAAGAGCUUUAGGGGGUAUCAUUAAGUGUUUUAUGCAAUCUUUCAUAAUUGAUUUUGUUAUAUAAAUAUUAUGUCUGAGAUGCUACAUCUUUUAUUGGAACAAUCUUUAUUAACACCAUGAUAUUUCCGAAUGUUUUAAUUUUGCAUCUACUUUAUGUAGACAUUACUGAAAUCAUUUCACAAAGGACCUUCUAAAGUUAGGACUUUUUAUGGAUUAUGUAAUGUGUUUGAGUAUUAAAUACUUAGUUUACUAUGCUAAUUCUAAGAUAUUCUAGUUUGGCCUAGUCUAAUUCUGGUGUAAUAAAGAAAUAGGUUUCUGCAGGUGUUAUUCUCAUAAAUAAGAUAAUUUGUAUUGGGAGAUUAACCAAACACAUGUUAUAAGUGUUAAUCAUGAUGCGAUUUCAGGAAUCAGAAUUUUGAGUCAACUCAUUUUUAAUUAAUUUUGAGUCAAAAUCAUAUGUAAUUAAUUAUCCUUCCAAAUUCAAAACAGGUAAUUGGUGCUAGUGGAAAUAGUGGUGUUUGGGGGCAUCUUCUUGAAGAAAAAACAUUUUUAGUUGGUGCUAGUGGAAAGAGUGGUGUUUGGGGGCAUCUUCUUUAAGAAACAACAUCUGAGGUGGCUCAAAGAUGAACAUAUAAUUUUGAUCCAAUAUUUGGAAAGGAAAGAGACGAAGUUCAUGAGACUAGGAAGGAACAAGAUUGUGGAUGAUAAAUUUGCCAAAAACGAUCCCACCACUAUUUUGCAGACUGAGAAGCUACAUGCUCAGCUAUUAGUAUUAACUAAAAUUUAGAAUUUGCACUGAUGUUCAAUAUUAUUAAACGCUGAUGUUUAGAGUAAUAUGAGUAUUUUGGUGUAUCUAUUGUUAUUUUUACUAUGAAUGCAUUGAUUUGUUGAAAAAUUAUCUAUAAAUAAUAAAUAAUUUAGCGGCGGAUGGAUUCUGCUACUAAAUAGCAUUAUAUGUA